Poecilia reticulata (guppy) is the source of this 410-nucleotide non-coding RNA. The record is from RefSeq and is a predicted model, not a curated record. NCBI's taxonomy places the organism in Eukaryota, Metazoa, Chordata, Actinopteri, Cyprinodontiformes, Poeciliidae.
UAGUUUAUAACCUUGGUCAGGAUUUUUCCCGUUUUGUCUUUCAGAGCCUGAAAAUCGCGAACAUGUUUUCCGAUCUGAACUAUUGAUCCAGGUCUCCAUGGAAACUGGAGGCUCACGGCCUUCCUCUCGUGUUUACGUUCAUCUAUAAGACAUUAACUCGGAUCAGGAGCCUCCUGCUGUCGGAGCGUCACGGUUCGCCGAACGUCUGUUUUCCUCCAGGUUGAGCCCGCAGAAACUCCUGGGAGCGAGCUUUGUGGAGCCGGCCACAGCGGGACGUUUCCACCCAAACUUUUCACUCUGACCAGAGGAAGCGGCCCGGUUCUGCAGCUCAGAACCGGACCAGGGGGAACCGGGCUGAACGUCCAAUCUGCGCCACAUGUGUGGAAAUAAAUGAUAGUUUCCAAAGCGUC